Molecule: unclassified non-coding RNA, 220 nt
Filed under: soil metagenome
Description: partial contains 5.8S ribosomal RNA, internal transcribed spacer 2, and large subunit ribosomal RNA
Source: RNAcentral
AACGCACGAGACCUGCGGACCUGCGGAGGGAUCAUUAACGAGUUCGAAAGUCGGUCGACCGUGCUGGCGGAGACGCACGUGCACGUCGGUCGCGAACCAUCCACACACCCGUGAACGUAUGGCCGGGAGUCUCGCACUCCCGGCACAACUUUUACGCCCUUUCAGUAAAGGAAUGUCUUACGUGUAACGUAUCUUAUACAACUUUCAACAACGGAUCUCU